This 93-nucleotide transfer RNA is filed under the name Candidatus Bathyarchaeota archaeon. Its description in RNAcentral is "tRNA-Gln". It matches the Rfam family "tRNA". Rfam says of the family: Transfer RNA (tRNA) molecules are approximately 80 nucleotides in length. Their secondary structure includes four short double-helical elements and three loops (D, anti-codon, and T loops). Further hydrogen bonds mediate the characteristic L-shaped molecular structure. tRNAs have two regions of fundamental functional importance: the anti-codon, which is responsible for specific mRNA codon recognition, and the 3' end, to which the tRNAs corresponding amino acid is attached (by aminoacyl-tRNA synthetases). tRNAs cope with the degeneracy of the genetic code in two manners: having more than one tRNA (with a specific anti-codon) for a particular amino acid; and 'wobble' base-pairing, i.e. permitting non-standard base-pairing at the 3rd anti-codon position. The record is from RNAcentral. RNAcentral also lists the same sequence under 1 other name. Lineage: Archaea; Thermoproteati; Candidatus Bathyarchaeota.
AGCCCGGUGGUGUAGUGGUCAAGCAUAGCAGGCUCUGGACCUGCUGACGGGAGAGCCUAAAAGCCCUGAGUUCGAAUCUCCCCCGGGCUACCA